CCUAUCUGGGUGCCUGAACACGCAAUCAGACAUGGAGGAGAUAGAGCCAAGAUUCAAGCGACUGAAAAUCGACCCGGAGAAGCCUUCACUCAAAACGAAGAGAUAUUGAAGAAGAAUGAAGAUGACCCAGCAAGACCCACUGAAAAGCUGAUCUCAUGGGAAUAUGUGAAAAAGCUGACAACACUCGCUUCACGAAUGAUUCGACUCCUAGGGAGAAAUAAGACCCCAUUGAUGAUGGUAGCUACAGUGAUUGCCCUGCUGGACCAUCAGGUAAACGGGAGUUGAGCAGACACUUACUGGACAUAUUUCCCAGAUCUACCCUGGUACACCCAGCUGUGUGGACUGGAGAAUCUAUUCCAGUGUUUACUAAUGACUCAUUCAUGAUGGGAGGAUUUACAGACGCUCAUAUUACUCCCAAUCAUGUGACUAGAUUUAAUUAUUUUGGCUACAGUGCCCAGUUACCUUUGUGUUGGUCCCAUGAUAAACAUGCUGGCUGUCUCAGAGUAUCAUUUGAGGAAAAGACAGUGUUUGGGAGACCUAGACUGAUUAAUCGUACUAUUGAUGGAGACUUAAAACCUUAUACUAGAUCAGUGAUCAAAAUGGGACUUUCCCAUAACAAACCAGUCAUUUCUGCAAAAUCUCUAUGAAUACCUCAUUGUCCUAAUAGUUCUACAAUUGAGAUUGGCACCUUUCCUAGAUGGAUAGAUUGUGUAAAUACCUUUCCAGUGCAACAUACAGUGUCUAAAGAUAGUGGGUAUAUUUUAGACUGGUCUCUAAAUAUUGAUAAAAGACAAUUACAAAAAAGUUCUGGUAUGACACCUGCAGGAUUUGUUAGCAAUAUUUUGACCUACAGCAAAGGUGGUAUUCAAAAAGAUGUUUGGCGCUUAAUUGCUGCCUCAGAAUUCUUACAUUUUACAGACAAGCCUUUACCAAAAUUUGUUGGCCAGAGCUGUAAGGAAGUUUCUUGUUAUGGAUUACAAGCCUGAGUCCAAUCUCCUUAUGUUUUAAUCAUUGAAAAUGUAAAAGUUAAAUGGAUAGAUGACAGAUAUGUUGUAACAUGUAACAAAUGUAACCUAACCAAUUGUAUUACUAGAUAUAAUAGAGAAAAAGGAGUGCUGGUACUUCAUCAGCCCUCUUUUGUUUUAUUGCCUGCUAAUAUUUCAGAGCCAUGGUACGCUGAUACUGGUUUUCAAGUCUUCAGCAAAUCCAUACUCAGCUAGCAAGACCUAGACAUGCCAUUGGAAUUAUAAUUGUGGGAGUUAUAGCCUUGGUUUCUUUCAUUGCAUUCACAGUCACAGCUUCGAUGACUUUAUCUCAAAAUAUUCAACAUGCAAAAUUUCUUAAUAAUUUAGCCCAAAAUACUUCCAAGGCCCUGCACAAUCAAGUAAAUAUUGAUGAAAGGAUUGAGAGUUAAAUUAAGUUAAACGCCUUAGAGGCGACUGUUAUAAAUAUAGGUAAUGAACUUUCGGCUUUAAAGUUUAAAGAAAGGCUUAAAUGCCAUGCAAGUUAUAAAAUUGUGUGUAUUACAGCUGCCAAGUUCAAUUCUUCUCUCUGGGAUUGGGAGAAGGUUAAAAACUAUUUGUUAGGUAUUUGACAAAAUAAUAAUAAUAGCUUGGAUCUUUUGGAAUUCCAUCGUCAUAUCCAAGAUAUUCAAAAUAAUAGAGCUGAUUUUUCAGAUCCUUCUUCUUUAGCUAAUAAAAUAUUAAAGGAAUUAAAUGGAUUUAAAUCCCUGGAAACAUUCUUAAACACUCGGCCUGAUACAUUAUUGCAUUGUUCUCUUUGCUGUUAAUUCUUUUUUGUGUUGUAAUUAUAGGAUGGCGAGCCUUCAGAGCGAGAGUGCAGAGACUCAAAAAAGUAAAUCAUCACCGGCUUUUUAAAAGAAAAAAGGGGAAAUAUGUGGGAGGCCAUCCUCGCAUGUGAUUUGAGUUACCUUCUGGCUGGGCGAGAGGUGCUUAGGCACAUUUUGUGUCCAGAGCUUUCCCCACCCUUCUCAGGUCCGAGGGCUUGUCCAUGUGGAGGAGUGUCUGACCACUACCCCGAAGACCCAAUUGUCACCCCUGACCUUGGCAUGCUGCCCCCUUAAUCUUCAUUGGAUGGAAUUUUCCCCAGAAUUUUUUGUUCCCCAAUAAAAGUCCACUCCCUGGCAUGUUCUCU
This 2154-nucleotide long non-coding RNA is filed under the name Marmota monax (woodchuck). The record is from RNAcentral. Lineage: Eukaryota; Metazoa; Chordata; Mammalia; Rodentia; Sciuridae.